GACGAACGCUGGCGGCGGGCUUAACACAUGCAAGUCGAACGGAAAGGCCCUGCUUUUGUGUGGUGCUCGCGUGGCGAACGGGUGAGUAACCCGUGAGUAACCUUCCCUUGACUUUGGGAUAACUUCAGGAAACUGGGGCUAAUACCGGAUAGGAGCUCCUGCUGCAUGGUGGGGUUUGGAAAGUUUCGGCGGUUGUGGAUGGACUCGCGGCUUAUCAGCUUGUUGGUGGGGGAGUGGCUUACCAAGGCUUUGACGGGUAGCCGGCCUGAGAGGGUGACCGGCCACAUUGGGACUGAGAUACGGCCCAGACUCCUACGGGAGGCAGCAGUGGGGAAUAUUGCACAAUGGGCGGAAGCCUGAUGCAGCAACGCCGCGUGCGGGAUGACGGCCUUCGGGUUGUAAACCGCUUUAGCCUGUGACGAAGCGUGAGUGACGGUAAUGGGUAAAGAAGCACCGGCUAACUACGUG
RNAcentral lists this ribosomal RNA (468 nucleotides) under uncultured bacterium. RNAcentral's name for it is "partial 16S ribosomal RNA". It matches the Rfam family "Bacterial small subunit ribosomal RNA", at positions 28 to 507 of the family's 1533-position model. The record is from RNAcentral.